This 446-nucleotide ribosomal RNA is filed under the name Salmonella enterica subsp. enterica serovar Heidelberg. Its description in RNAcentral is "partial 23S ribosomal RNA". It matches the Rfam family "Bacterial large subunit ribosomal RNA", at positions 1990 to 2435 of the family's 2925-position model. The record is from RNAcentral. Lineage: Bacteria; Pseudomonadati; Pseudomonadota; Gammaproteobacteria; Enterobacterales; Enterobacteriaceae.
GCACGAAAGGCGUAACGAUUUGGGCACUGUCUCAACGAGAGACUCGGUGAAAUUUUAGUACCUGUGAAGAUGCAGGUUACCCGCGACAGGACGGAAAGACCCCAUGGAGCUUUACUGUAGUUUGAUAUUGAGUGUUUGUACCACAUGUACAGGAUAGGUAGGAGCCGAUGAGACCGGAACGCUAGUUUCGGAGGAGGCGUUGGUGGGAUACUACCCUUGUGUUAUGAACCCUCUAACCCGCACCACUAAUCGUGGUGGGAGACAGUGUCAGAUGGGCAGUUUGACUGGGGCGGUCGCCUCCUAAAAGGUAACGGAGGCGCCCAAAGGUUCCCUCAGAAUGGUUGGAAAUCAUUCGAAGAGUGUAAAGGCAGAAGGGAGCUUGACUGCGAGACCUACAAGUCGAGCAGGGACGAAAGUCGGGCUUAGUGAUCCGGUGGUUCCGCAUG